GACGAACGCUGGCGGCGUGCUUAACACAUGCAAGUCGAACGGAAAGGCCCUGCUUUUGUGGGGUGCUCGAGUGGCGAACGGGUGAGUAACACGUGAGUAACCUGCCCUUGACUUUGGGAUAACUUCAGGAAACUGGGGCUAAUACCGGAUAGGAGCUCCUGCUGCAUGGGGGGGGUUGGAAAGUUUCGGCGGUUGGGGAUGGACUCGCGGCUUAUCAGCUUGUUGGUGGGGUAGUGGCUUACCAAGGCUUUGACGGGUAGCCGGCCUGAGAGGGUGACCGGCCACAUUGGUCCUGAGAUACGGCCCAGACUCCUACGGGAGGCAGCAGUGGGGAAUAUUGCACAAUGGGCGGAAGCCUGAUGCAGCAACGCCGCGUGCGGGAUGACGGCCUUCGGGUUGUAAACCGCUUUCGCCUGUGACGAAGCGUGAGUGACGGUAAUGGGUAAAGAAGCACCGGCUAACUACGUG
This 468-nucleotide ribosomal RNA is filed under the name uncultured bacterium. RNAcentral's name for it is "partial 16S ribosomal RNA". It matches the Rfam family "Bacterial small subunit ribosomal RNA", at positions 28 to 507 of the family's 1533-position model. The record is from RNAcentral.